Non-coding RNA from Dictyostelium discoideum AX4, 94 nucleotides. Lineage: Eukaryota; Evosea; Eumycetozoa; Dictyosteliales; Dictyosteliaceae. The record is from the annotation of a RefSeq genome assembly.
GUUAUACUUACAGCAAAUCUAAGUAAUAAACAUGAUUUACCAACACCACUAUCACCAAUUAAAAGAAUUUUAAAGAAAAAAUCGCUAUAAGUUU